Molecule: ribosomal RNA, 2921 nt
Filed under: Staphylococcus aureus
Lineage: Bacteria; Bacillati; Bacillota; Bacilli; Caryophanales; Staphylococcaceae
Description: 23S ribosomal RNA
Rfam family: Bacterial large subunit ribosomal RNA
Source: RNAcentral
UUAAGUUAUUAAGGGCGCACGGUGGAUGCCUUGGCACUAGAAGCCGAUGAAGGACGUUACUAACGACGAUAUGCUUUGGGGAGCUGUAAGUAAGCUUUGAUCCAGAGAUUUCCGAAUGGGGAAACCCAGCAUGAGUUAUGUCAUGUUAUCGAUAUGUGAAUACAUAGCAUAUCAGAAGGCACACCCGGAGAACUGAAACAUCUUAGUACCCGGAGGAAGAGAAAGAAAAUUCGAUUCCCUUAGUAGCGGCGAGCGAAACGGGAAGAGCCCAAACCAACAAGCUUGCUUGUUGGGGUUGUAGGACACUCUGUACGGAGUUACAAAGGACGACAUUAGACGAAUCAUCUGGAAAGAUGAAUCAAAGAAGGUAAUAAUCCUGUAGUCGAAAAUGUUGUCUCUCUUGAGUGGAUCCUGAGUACGACGGAGCACGUGAAAUUCCGUCGGAAUCUGGGAGGACCAUCUCCUAAGGCUAAAUACUCUCUAGUGACCGAUAGUGAACCAGUACCGUGAGGGAAAGGUGAAAAGCACCCCGGAAGGGGAGUGAAAUAGAACCUGAAACCGUGUGCUUACAAGUAGUCAGAGCCCGUUAAUGGGUGAUGGCGUGCCUUUUGUAGAAUGAACCGGCGAGUUACGAUUUGAUGCAAGGUUAAGCAGUAAAUGUGGAGCCGUAGCGAAAGCGAGUCUGAAUAGGGCGUUUAGUAUUUGGUCGUAGACCCGAAACCAGGUGAUCUACCCUUGGUCAGGUUGAAGUUCAGGUAACACUGAAUGGAGGACCGAACCGACUUACGUUGAAAAGUGAGCGGAUGAACUGAGGGUAGCGGAGAAAUUCCAAUCGAACCUGGAGAUAGCUGGUUCUCUCCGAAAUAGCUUUAGGGCUAGCCUCAAGUGAUGAUUAUUGGAGGUAGAGCACUGUUUGGACGAGGGGCCCCUCUCGGGUUACCGAAUUCAGACAAACUCCGAAUGCCAAUUAAUUUAACUUGGGAGUCAGAACAUGGGUGAUAAGGUCCGUGUUCGAAAGGGAAACAGCCCAGACCACCAGCUAAGGUCCCAAAAUAUAUGUUAAGUGGAAAAGGAUGUGGCGUUGCCCAGACAACUAGGAUGUUGGCUUAGAAGCAGCCAUCAUUUAAAGAGUGCGUAAUAGCUCACUAGUCGAGUGACACUGCGCCGAAAAUGUACCGGGGCUAAACAUAUUACCGAAGCUGUGGAUUGUCCUUUGGACAAUGGUAGGAGAGCGUUCUAAGGGCGUUGAAGCAUGAUCGUAAGGACAUGUGGAGCGCUUAGAAGUGAGAAUGCCGGUGUGAGUAGCGAAAGACGGGUGAGAAUCCCGUCCACCGAUUGACUAAGGUUUCCAGAGGAAGGCUCGUCCGCUCUGGGUUAGUCGGGUCCUAAGCUGAGGCCGACAGGCGUAGGCGAUGGAUAACAGGUUGAUAUUCCUGUACCACCUAUAAUCGUUUUAAUCGAUGGGGGGACGCAGUAGGAUAGGCGAAGCGUGCGAUUGGAUUGCACGUCUAAGCAGUAAGGCUGAGUAUUAGGCAAAUCCGGUACUCGUUAAGGCUGAGCUGUGAUGGGGAGAAGACAUUGNGUCUUCGAGUCGUUGAUUUCACACUGCCGAGAAAAGCCUCUAGAUAGAAAAUAGGUGCCCGUACCGCAAACCGACACAGGUAGUCAAGAUGAGAAUUCUAAGGUGAGCGAGCGAACUCUCGUUAAGGAACUCGGCAAAAUGACCCCGUAACUUCGGGAGAAGGGGUGCUCUUUAGGGUUAACGCCCAGAAGAGCCGCAGUGAAUAGGCCCAAGCGACUGUUUAUCAAAAACACAGGUCUCUGCUAAACCGUAAGGUGAUGUAUAGGGGCUGACGCCUGCCCGGUGCUGGAAGGUUAAGAGGAGUGGUUAGCUUCUGCGAAGCUACGAAUCGAAGCCCCAGUAAACGGCGGCCGUAACUAUAACGGUCCUAAGGUAGCGAAAUUCCUUGUCGGGUAAGUUCCGACCCGCACGAAAGGCGUAACGAUUUGGGCACUGUCUCAACGAGAGACUCGGUGAAAUCAUAGUACCUGUGAAGAUGCAGGUUACCCGCGACAGGACGGAAAGACCCCGUGGAGCUUUACUGUAGCCUGAUAUUGAAAUUCGGCACAGCUUGUACAGGAUAGGUAGGAGCCUUUGAAACGUGAGCGCUAGCUUACGUGGAGGCGCUGGUGGGAUACUACCCUAGCUGUGUUGGCUUUCUAACCCGCACCACUUAUCGUGGUGGGAGACAGUGUCAGGCGGGCAGUUUGACUGGGGCGGUCGCCUCCUAAAAGGUAACGGAGGCGCUCAAAGGUUCCCUCAGAAUGGUUGGAAAUCAUUCAUAGAGUGUAAAGGCAUAAGGGAGCUUGACUGCGAGACCUACAAGUCGAGCAGGGUCGAAAGACGGACUUAGUGAUCCGGUGGUUCCGCAUGGAAGGGCCAUCGCUCAACGGAUAAAAGCUACCCCGGGGAUAACAGGCUUAUCUCCCCCAAGAGUUCACAUCGACGGGGAGGUUUGGCACCUCGAUGUCGGCUCAUCGCAUCCUGGGGCUGUAGUCGGUCCCAAGGGUUGGGCUGUUCGCCCAUUAAAGCGGUACGCGAGCUGGGUUCAGAACGUCGUGAGACAGUUCGGUCCCUAUCCGUCGUGGGCGUAGGAAAUUUGAGAGGAGCUGUCCUUAGUACGAGAGGACCGGGAUGGACAUACCUCUGGUGUACCAGUUGUCGUGCCAACGGCAUAGCUGGGUAGCUAUGUGUGGACGGGAUAAGUGCUGAAAGCAUCUAAGCAUGAAGCCCCCCUCAAGAUGAGAUUUCCCAACUUCGGUUAUAAGAUCCCUCAAAGAUGAUGAGGUUAAUAGGUUCGAGGUGGAAGCAUGGUGACAUGUGGAGCUGACGAAUACUAAUCGAUCGAAGACUUAAUCAA